Molecule: ribosomal RNA, 523 nt
Filed under: uncultured bacterium
Lineage: Bacteria
Description: bacterial SSU rRNA
Rfam family: Bacterial small subunit ribosomal RNA
Source: RNAcentral
AGAGUUUGAUUCUGGCUCAGGAUGAACGCUAGCUACAGGCUUAACACAUGCAAGUCGAGGGGCAGCAUGGUCUUAGCUUGCUAAGACUGAUGGCGACCGGCGCACGGGUGAGUAACGCGUAUCCAACCUUCCCCAUAGUAGAGGAUAGCCCGGCGAAAGUCGGAUUAAUACUCUAUGUUGUAUAAUGAUGACAUCAGACUUAUACCAAAGAUUGAUCGCUAUGGGAUGGGGAUGCGUCUGAUUAGAUAGUAGGCGGGGUAACGGCCCACCUAGUCGACGAUCAGUAGGGGUUCUGAGAGGAAGGUCCCCCACAUUGGAACUGAGACACGGUCCAAACUCCUACGGGAGGCAGCAGUGAGGAAUAUUGGUCAAUGGACGGGAGUCUGAACCAGCCAAAAGUAGCGUGCAGGAUGACGGCCCUAUGGGUUGUAAACUGCUUUUAUACGGGGAUAAAGUGAGGGACGUGUCCCUUAUUGUAGGUACCGUAUGAAUAAGGACCGGCUAAUUCCGUGCCAGCCGCCGC